AAAGGGCGCGUAGGCGGAUGUUUUAGUCAGGCGUGAAAGUCCUGGGCUCAACCUGGGGAUUGCGUUUGAUACGGGGCAUCUAGAGUUGGGAAGAGGGUCGUGGAAUUCCCAGUGUAGAGGUGAAAUUCGUAGAUAUUGGGAAGAACACCGGUGGCGAAGGCGGCGACCUGGUCCUUGACUGACGCUGAGGCGCGAAAGCGUGGGGAGCAAACAGGAUUAGAUACCCCAGU
Molecule: ribosomal RNA, 230 nt
Filed under: uncultured bacterium
Lineage: Bacteria
Description: partial 16S ribosomal RNA
Rfam family: Bacterial small subunit ribosomal RNA
Source: RNAcentral